CUAAUGGCUCUUAUUAGAGCCAUUAUCAUAGUUCUGAAGAAAAAAU
Sus scrofa (pig) is the source of this 46-nucleotide non-coding RNA. The record is from Rfam. Lineage: Eukaryota; Metazoa; Chordata; Mammalia; Artiodactyla; Suidae.